UUAUCCUACGGGGCGCAGCAGUAGGGAAUCUUCGGCAAUGGGGGCAACCCUGACCGAGCAACGCCGCGUGAGUGAAGAAGGUUUUCGGAUCGUAAAGCUCUGUUGUAAGAGAAGAACGUGUGUGAGAGUGGAAAGUUCACACAGUGACGGUAACUUACCAGAAAGGGACGGCUAACUACGUGCCAGCAGCCGCGGUAAUACGUAGGUCCCGAGCGUUAUCCGGAUUUAUUGGGCGUAAAGCGAGCGCAGGCGGUUGGAUAAGUCUGAAGAUAAAGGCGGUGGAGU
Molecule: ribosomal RNA, 285 nt
Filed under: uncultured bacterium
Lineage: Bacteria
Description: partial 16S ribosomal RNA
Rfam family: Bacterial small subunit ribosomal RNA
Source: RNAcentral